Molecule: ribosomal RNA, 505 nt
Filed under: uncultured bacterium
Lineage: Bacteria
Description: partial 16S ribosomal RNA
Rfam family: Bacterial small subunit ribosomal RNA
Source: RNAcentral
GACGAACGCUGGCGGCGUGCCUAAUACAUGCAAGUAGAACGCACAGUUUAUACCGUAGCUUGCUACACCAUAGACUGUGAGUUGCGAACGGGUGAGUAACGCGUAGGUAACCUGCCUGGUAGCGGGGGAUAACUAUUGGAAACGAUAGCUAAUACCGCAUAAUAUUGAUUAUUGCAUGAUAAUUGAUUGAAAGAUGCUAUUGCAUCACUACCAGAUGGACCUGCGUUGUAUUAGCUAGUAGGUGAGGUAACGGCUCACCUAGGCGACGAUACAUAGCCGACCUGAGAGGGCGAUCGGCCACACUGGGACUGAGACACGGCCCAGACUCCUACGGGAGGCAGCAGUAGGGAAUCUUCGGCAAUGGACGAAAGUCUGACCGAGCAACGCCGCGUGAGUGAAGAAGGGUGUCGGAUCGUAAAGCUCGGUUGUAAGAGAAGAACGGGUGUGAGAGUGGAAAGUUCACACUGUGACGGUAUCUUACCAGAAAGGGACGGCUAACUACGUG